This 301-nucleotide ribosomal RNA is filed under the name uncultured bacterium. RNAcentral's name for it is "partial 16S ribosomal RNA". It matches the Rfam family "Bacterial small subunit ribosomal RNA", at positions 509 to 808 of the family's 1533-position model. The record is from RNAcentral.
CAGUAGCCGCGGUAAUACGAAGGGGGCUAGCGUUGCUCGGAAUGACUGGGCGUAAAGGGCGCGUAGGCGGCACAGACAGUCAGAAGUGAAAUUCCUGGGCUCAACCUGGGGACUGCUUUUGAUACGUCUGAGCUAGAGUGGAGAAGAGGGUUGUGGAAUUUCCAGUGUAGAGGUGAAAUUCGUAGAUAUUGGAAAGAACACCGGUGGCGAAGGCGGCAACCUGGUCUUUUACUGACGCUGAGGCGCGAAAGCGUGGGGAGCAAACAGGAUUAGAGACCCCUGUAGUCCCUGUCUCUUAACA